GGGAGCUUAGCUGCCCUCAAAAAAAGAGUGGCGGACGGGUGAGUAACACGUGGGUAACCUGCCCAUCAAAGGGGGAUAACACUUGGAAACAGGUGCUAAUACCGCAUAAUUCCCUUGACCGCCUGGUCGCCGGAUAAAAGACGCUUCGGUGUCUCUGGUGGAUGGACCCGCGCUGCAUUAGUUAUUUGGUGGGGUAACGGCCUACCGACCGUGAUGCAUAGCCGACCUGAGAGGGUGAUCUGCCACACUGGGACUGAGACACGGCCCACACUCCUACGGGAGGCAGCACUAGGGAAUCUUCGGCAAUGGACGGAAGUCUGACCGAGCAACGCCCCGUGAGUGAAGAAGGUUUUCGGAUCGUAAAACUCUGUUGUUAGAGAAAAACAAGUGGGAGAGUAACUGUUCUCACCUUGACGGUAUCUAACCAGAAAGCCACGGCUAACUACGUGCCAGCAGCCGCGGUAAUACGUAUGUGGCAAGCGUUGUCCGGAUUUAUUGGGCGUAAAGCGAGCGCAGGCGGUUUCUUAAGUCUGAUGUGAAAGCCCCCGGCUUACCCGGGGAGGGUCAUUGUAAACUGGGAGACUUGAGUGCG
Molecule: ribosomal RNA, 592 nt
Filed under: Enterococcus sp. T2811
Lineage: Bacteria; Bacillati; Bacillota; Bacilli; Lactobacillales; Enterococcaceae
Description: bacterial SSU rRNA
Rfam family: Bacterial small subunit ribosomal RNA
Source: RNAcentral